Molecule: long non-coding RNA, 747 nt
Filed under: Brassica napus (rape)
Lineage: Eukaryota; Viridiplantae; Streptophyta; Magnoliopsida; Brassicales; Brassicaceae
Description: long non-coding RNA (BNAP_LNC010524)
Source: RNAcentral
AAUUUAUAAUCACAUUCUACAUUUUUAUUAUUGUACGUUAAACUUUCUUUCAUGGUAAAUUGGAAUCAUUAUAAUUUUUUAUCAAUUAAUUUAGUAAAACUUAAAAAUACUCCCUAAAUCAGUGGAAUAACCACUACAAAAUCGCUAUUUUCUUGAAAAAAGAGGACAACAAAGGCUCUAAACCUCUUUCAACAUCAUCAUCAUAUAUUAGUGUAAGAUGCAAGUAUGUAUUAAAACAAUAUUGUCAUAUUUGUUUGAAAUUUUCUAAAAAUUUAUGUGUUAACCUCUACAAAAAUAUUAAAUUUUGGUAAAUGCUUUAUAUAUUGAACCCUAUAAUCUUUAGUGUUGUUUUAAAAUUUCUAAUCACAUUCUACAUUUGUAUUAAUGUAUUCUAAACUCUAUUUCAUGGUGCAUGAGCAUCGUUCAAUAUUUUUUAUAAAUUAAUUUAGUAAAACUUCAUAUUCUCCCUAAAUUUGAGGACUGGCCAUUAUAAAAUCGCUAUUCUCUAGAGGAAAGGAGACAACAAAGGUUUCAAACCUCUUUGACCAUCAUCAUAUAUUAGUACAGGAGGCAACUAUAUUUUUUGAAUUUUUCUUAAUACUAUGUGUUAACCCCUACGAAAAUAUUGAAUUUUACUUUAAACGCUCUAUAUACUGAAGCCUAAACUUUUUAGUGUUAUUUUAAAAUUUUAAGCCAUAUUCUUUUUUUUUUUUUUUUUUUUUUUUUUUUUUUUUUUUUUUUUUUUUU